GUAGGUGGCAAGCGUUGUCCGGAAUUAUUGGGCGUAAAGCGCGCGCAGGCGGUUCUUUAAGUCUGAUGUGAAAGCCCACGGCUCAACCGUGGAGGGUCAUGGGAAACUGGAGAACUUGAGUACAGAAGAGGAAAGCGGAAUUCCACGUGUAGCGGUGAAAUGCGUAGAGAUGUGGAGGGACACCAGUGGCGAAGGCGGCUUUCUGGUCUGUAACUGACGCUGAGGCGCGAAAGCGUGGGGAGCAAACAGGGAUUAGAUACCCUGGUAGUCCACGCCGUAAACGAUGAGUGCUAAGUGUUAGGGGGUUUCCGCCCCCUUAGUGCUGCAGCUAACGCAUUAAGCACUCCGCCUGGGGAGUACGGCCGCAAGGCUG
This 373-nucleotide ribosomal RNA is filed under the name uncultured organism. RNAcentral describes it as "partial 16S ribosomal RNA". It matches the Rfam family "Bacterial small subunit ribosomal RNA", at positions 527 to 896 of the family's 1533-position model. The record is from RNAcentral.